CUCUUUUAUAUUUGCCAGCAUUUGCAGUGCGUCUCAACCUGCCUUGGGUGCAGAGGGAAAGCUGCUUGAUAUGUUAUUAUGGUUCAGGGUUGCUCACUAAUUCUUAGAGUGAGUGGAGAUCUGAAAUAACCCCAACCACCCCCUAGCUAUGGGAGCUUUCUACAUUUUCCUUAGCAGCACAUCAUGCAGCGAAUUCAGAGGCUUCAGGCUGACUGGGUCUUGGAAAUAGACACCUUCUUGAGUCAGACACCCUAUGGGUACCGGUCUUUCUCAAAUGUCAUCAGCACCCUCAAUCCCACUGCUAAACGACAUUUGGUCCUCGCCUGCCACUAUGACUCCAAGUAUUUUUCCCACUGGAACAACAGAGUGUUUGUAGGAGCCACUGAUUCAGCCGUGCCAUGUGCAAUGAUGUUGGAACUUGCUCGUGCCUUGGACAAGAAACUCCUUUCCUUAAAGACUGUUUCAGACUCCAAGCCAGAUUUGUCACUCCAGCUGAUCUUCUUUGAUGGUGAAGAGGCUUUUCUUCACUGGUCUCCUCAAGAUUCUCUCUAUGGGUCUCGACACUUAGCUGCAAAGAUGGCAUCGACCCCGCACCCACCUGGAGCGAGAGGCACCAGCCAACUGCAUGGCAUGGAUUUAUUGGUCUUAUUG
This 651-nucleotide small RNA is filed under the name Pongo abelii (Sumatran orangutan). Its description in RNAcentral is "retained intron". The record is from RNAcentral. Lineage: Eukaryota; Metazoa; Chordata; Mammalia; Primates; Hominidae.